AUGUGUCCAACGCAGUUGGCGCAAGACAGAGACAAAGCAUUGGAAGAACAGAACGGCCUUCAAAACCAAUUGGAUGAAUUCAGUAAAAAAAGAAAUGACUUUAUGGCAAUUAUCAAACAAUUAGACCCAAAUUUUAUCGAAUCUGCUGAUGAGGUGAUAUCCACACCAAAGUCUCCGAAUCAGCAAAACGCAUCUGCAUUAUAUGAUUCUGCUGCAUCAGGGAAGAAACCAAAAGAACAAGGAAAAACCCCAUCAUCCAAAGCAAAAUCAGAAAUAACUGCUCACUCUGGAGAUUUAGUCAACGAAUCCAAGCAGUCAAAACUGCCUGAUCUGAGCAUCGGUGUUGUUGCGCCUGAUCAUGGAAAAUUUGUUGAUUUGUCUCAUUCUACAGUAGGCAAUGGUGAGCAAUUUUUGGACCCACGCUCCAGAUCCAAGAGAUCCAAGAGUCCAAUCUGGAUUCCCAACGAAUCUGCAUCUUACUCAGAAGUUUUACGGUCAAAUCCUAGCUCAAGGGAGCCUAGUCGUGAUCGAACUGCCUCAAAAUCGGUCAAUAACAUCGCUUCCUCAAAGCAACCGUCAUCCACCGAAGAAAAUCGUAGUUUGCUCUCUCAGUUCAAUCAAUACGAUGAUAAUUUACUCUCUUUUAAAGUACCCUUUGCUUCAUCUAAAUUAUUUGAUGUUCCUCAACAACCUGAUCCUCUUUCUUCUACUGAAGCACUCAUUAGAUCAGAAACCCAAGAUAAAUCUGGUUUUCUCAGCCAUGCGUUUUUUCAACCUUUGGAGCCUUUACCUUCACUUACUAAUAUUCAACCUAAUUUUGAAGUUCAUCCUCAGGCCCACAUAGUUUCUGAAAAGUCAAAACAAGAGAAUCAACAAAGUGAUCCUAUUAAAAACUCUGAAUCCUCUCCUAAUUCGAUUAUAUUCAACAGUAAUGCAAGGAAUAUUUCAAAAGAAUUACUGGCCAAUUCUUCAAGUUUCAGCGAGAAGCCGCAUGACAAGGAGCUGGAAAAUGUUUCUAAAAAAUUGAAUGUCGAUGCUUUGAAUUCAGUCGCGGUAGCAAUGAAAGAAAAUAUUGCAGUCAGCAAAACACAAGGGAAAAAACUUGCAAACAAAGAGUCUUCGUCAAAAAAGAAUCAGAAAGUAGAAGCUGCUAAAAAUUUGGAUUCAGCUACCAAUUCUUCAAACUUCGAGACAAGUAACAUCGAAGCCCCUGCAAAUAAAAAACAGAAGAAAAAAAAUGCACCAGUAGAAAUUUCUUCUGCUGACAAGGCUUCUAAGUCCCCCGUAAUCAAAGAAAGCAAUAUUAACAGUGUGGAUAGUCAGUCAGACAAACAAGUCAAAUCUCCUUCAAAAGCUACUAAGAAAGAUUUGGUGGUUGAACCUCCUUGCAAAACCUUGAAUGAACUGUUGCCUGGCAACCAGAUUCCACAGGAAGGUGCUGAAAUAUUGAAUGGAAAAAAGAAUAAAACCCAGAAAGAGAACCAACAGGACAACUCAGUAGGAAUGCUAGCAAUAAAAUUUCUAAAGACACUCCUAAAAAUAAAUCUUCUGAACAGAAUCUAA
Molecule: long non-coding RNA, 1563 nt
Filed under: Bemisia tabaci
Lineage: Eukaryota; Metazoa; Arthropoda; Insecta; Hemiptera; Aleyrodidae
Description: lncRNA ENSSWEETPG011642
Source: RNAcentral